RNAcentral lists this ribosomal RNA (253 nucleotides) under uncultured bacterium. RNAcentral's name for it is "partial 16S ribosomal RNA". It matches the Rfam family "Bacterial small subunit ribosomal RNA", at positions 524 to 776 of the family's 1533-position model. The record is from RNAcentral.
UACAGAGGAUGCAAGCGUUAUCCGGAAUGAUUGGGCGUAAAGCGUCUGUAGGUGGCUUUUUAAGUCCGCCGUCAAAUCCCAGGGCUCAACUCUGGACAGGCGGUGGAAACUACCAAGCUGGAGUACGGUAGGGGCAGAGGGAAUUUCCGGUGGAGCGGUGAAAUGCGUAGAGAUCGGUAAGAACACCAACGGCGAAGGCGCUCUGCUGGGCCGACACUGACACUGAGAGACGAAAGCUAGGGGAGCGAAUGGG